This is a long non-coding RNA of Drosophila serrata, 268 nucleotides long. RefSeq lists it as uncharacterized. The record is from RefSeq and is a predicted model, not a curated record. Lineage: Eukaryota; Metazoa; Arthropoda; Insecta; Diptera; Drosophilidae.
CAGUUCUUUUCAGGCAGCUGAAGAAGACAGUUUUCCUCAGAUCGAAAAUACAAAAUCCAUAAAUGACAAUGAAAUUUGUUGCCACACUUUGUGUAGUAUUUCUUCUUAUGACCAUGGUCCUGGCCCAGAGAGAUUCGGACAGGUGCCACAAUGACUUCUCAUUUAACGAUUUUCUAGUCGAGAGCUACAGGGGCAUGUUAAACUAGGAAUAACGUUAUGAAAAACGUAAGACGCAUUAUAUCAACUUAAUAAAUUUAAGGAAAACGAA